UAAUCUACUUCCUAGUAGUGGGCAGGUUUGAACCCGGGACCAUGGAUAAGUCCGAACGACAGUCCAGCGCGCAAACCGCAGACCAGGCAGCCAUCUUACUUGAUGCAUUAUUCAAAGAAAUAAAUGAGAAAUUUGCUAAUGCCUUGGUUUAUUUUUAGUUAAUAGUUUAGAUAAAUCAAUAAUUAAUCUCAGAAUUAAUGAUAAAUAAGAACCUGAACAAAAAUUGUUAAGAUUCAUAAAAAAUGUCCCAAACUUUUUCCUCAACUAAACAUUUCACACAUUCUGAGUCUUUAGCAGAGCACUUUGCUUAUUUUUCUAGAGAGGUUAAUUCACAUGGUGGCCUUUUAGUUAAUUAUCCCAUCUAUUCAGGCCUCAUGGAACACAAGGGCUCUGCGGAACACAGUUUGGGAAACACUGACCUAGACAAAUACAACUUUUUAUGUUUUAGUAACAAGUGGUCAACAUGUAAAUAUAAAAGUAAAACUACUGCACUAUCAUGUUAGCUCAAGCACUAGAUAGUGAACAGAAUAAAAAAACAAAGAUGUGAUCUUGAGAUAGUGAAGAUAAUACUGUGACAUGAUCAACAAAUAAACAAAGUGCAAAACUGUGUGCCCCACUGCAAGUCAACAGAAAUGCACAUAUUUUUUUU
Molecule: long non-coding RNA, 649 nt
Organism: Biomphalaria glabrata
Lineage: Eukaryota; Metazoa; Mollusca; Gastropoda; Planorbidae
Exons: 2
Source: RefSeq, a predicted model, not a curated record